Molecule: transfer RNA, 65 nt
Filed under: Nepsalus caelestis
Lineage: Eukaryota; Metazoa; Arthropoda; Insecta; Neuroptera; Myrmeleontidae
Description: tRNA-Thr
Rfam family: tRNA
About the family: Transfer RNA (tRNA) molecules are approximately 80 nucleotides in length. Their secondary structure includes four short double-helical elements and three loops (D, anti-codon, and T loops).
Source: RNAcentral
GUUUUAAUAGUUUAAAUAAAACAUUGGUCUUGUAUACCAAAAUUAAGUUUUCAACUUUUAAAAUU